Molecule: ribosomal RNA, 493 nt
Filed under: uncultured bacterium
Lineage: Bacteria
Description: bacterial SSU rRNA
Rfam family: Bacterial small subunit ribosomal RNA
Source: RNAcentral
GAUCCUGGCUCAGAUUGAACGCUGCGGAAUGCUUUACACAUGCAAGUCGAACGGUAGAGGGGGCAACCCCUCGAGAGUGGCGAACGGGUGAGUAAUAUAUCGGAACGUGCCCAGUCGUGGGGGAUAACGUAGCGAAAGUUACGCUAAUACCGCAUACGAUCUAUGGAUGAAAGCGGGGGAUCGCAAGACCUCGCGCGAUUGGAGCGGCCGAUAUCAGAUUAGCUAGUUGGUGGGGUAAAAGCCCACCAAGGCGACGAUCUGUAGCGGGUCUGAGAGGAUGAUCCGCCACACUGGGACUGAGACACGGCCCAGACUCCUACGGGAGGCAGCAGUGGGGAAUUUUGGACAAUGGGCGAAAGCCUGAUCCAGCCAUGCCGCGUGAGUGAAGAAGGCCUUUUGGUUGUAAAGCACUUUAAGCGAAGAGGAGGCUACCUGGAUUAAUACUCUGGGAUAGUGGACGUUACUCGCAGAAUAAGCACCGGCUAACUCUGUG